CCUACGGGUGGCUGCAGUGGGGAAUAUUGGACAAUGGGCGAAAGCCUGAUCCAGCCAUGCCGCGUGAGUGAAGAAGGCCUUCGGGUUGUAAAGCACUUUCAGUGGGGAAGAAAGCCUUGGGGCUAAUACCCUCGAGGAAGGACAUCACCCACAGAAGAAGCACCGGCUAACUCCGUGCCAGCAGCCGCGGUAAUACGGAGGGUGCGAGCGUUAAUCGGAAUUACUGGGCGUAAAGCGCGCGUAGGCGGUCUGAUAAGCCGGUUGUGAAAGCCCCGGGCUCAACCUGGGAACGGCAUCCGGAACUGUCAGGCUAGAGUGCAGGAGAGGAAGGUAGAAUUCCCGGUGUAGCGGUGAAAUGCGUAGAGAUCGGGAGGAAUACCAGUGGCGAAGGCGGCCUUCUGGACUGACACUGACGCUGAGGUGCGAAAGCGUGGGUAGCAAACAGGAUUAGAUACCGUGUAGUC
Molecule: ribosomal RNA, 464 nt
Filed under: Vreelandella stevensii
Lineage: Bacteria; Pseudomonadati; Pseudomonadota; Gammaproteobacteria; Oceanospirillales; Halomonadaceae
Description: partial 16S ribosomal RNA
Rfam family: Bacterial small subunit ribosomal RNA
Source: RNAcentral